AUGUUAUGUUGCACUGUAAUGAUAACAGGGUUGUGGAAUGUCAGGAUGAAUGUCAUGAACUUGUAAAUGGCCGAAAGUGUAAUAGGUAUGUGCAUUUACACCAGUUAUUGUUAGCAAACAGGCGUUUGCUUAAGAAUUACGACAAUAUUCAUUGUACUGAUUUGCACAGUAAAACAUGAUAGGACCCUAUAACUUCCCAUGGAAAUGGGGUCAAUCAUGACUGAACUGAACAACAUCAAUGUUAACUGGCUAACUAGAAGGCCAUCAUUGCUUAGCUUUGAUGUCUCAUUAUCUCUGAGGAAAGAAACUGACAAAGGGGAAGUCAAAACACAAGCAGACCCACACACACACCACACACACGCACGCACACACACACGCACGCACACACACACACUCAAAGGUACAAGAACACAUACAAUCCCUUGUUCUAAUGCCCCAGACAACAGUGACAGAUGUGACUGUGAGAAGUGAAAGAGAUGGCUGUCAGAUCCGUUGAUGCUGGACUGAUCCUGGUAUCACUGUUCCUGGCGGGUAAGACUGGAAUUUAUUUGUCACUGUCAGGGCCAUAGACAUAUAUACAUGUCUUUGGUCAGGGCCGGAUUCACUAAAGGGGGCUGGCAGGGCCAUGGCUGACAGCACAGGUAGGCCUACAUCGGUUGGGUGCAAAUUUGUAGCCAAUUCCUUGUUCAUGUGUGGGUGCGACAAGAAGGCUAUGAGUGCCUGGCUAUCAGACUGAUAAACUUGGUGUAGGUAUGACAGUAAAAUGUUUAAAUUUGUAUAAAACAUGCAAUGUCAAUGUUAGAGGACGAAGGACUAAUAAAGUAACAAAAUAAAAAAUAUCUAGCCCUAUGAUUAAAGAAACUAAUUAACCAUCAUCACUAACAGGCCCAUUUUAUACUGGGUGUGAAUGGGAACAAGUGCUUUUGGGUCAUUUAUAUAUAUAUAAAAAAACACAAAAUCCUUGAUUCUCAAAAUUUACAAUUGGGUAUUUAUAUUGUGCUUUUGGCUAUACAAAACAGACUUCCUUUAUUAAUAUUGAGAGUAUAUAAAUCUGUAAAAAGAUGGGACAUUUUUUAGAUUUUGAGAGGACAUACAAUUUGCCAUUGACGUGAAGGGACACAAGCCUUGGCAGAGUGAUGGUCACCACACAUUAAUUGCAAACAACAGAUACUUCAAUGACCUUUAUUUAAAGAAGAACAGAUUUUCCUUAUUUCUGAUGAACUAACUUGCGUAACGUCAGACCACACCAACAACUCCAGCAAGAACUGAGCAAAAGCUUGCGAACUUACACCACCCAAAAACCCGCACCAUAUGAGUUCGCUUCGCCUCUGUCACAUCCAAUGUUGUUUUUAGUAUAGUAAAGUUCAAAAACAGCUUGUUAUCACAGUUAUGGUCAGAACUAUUCUACAAAUUACCUUCGGGUAUUUCCAGGAGUUUUGCACGAACGUUUCUGAAGUGCUGGAAUUCUCCAUCUCGAACUCGAAAAGGAGGUGAUGCAGCCUAUACAGAUAAGUCCAAGACCUAGCAUACAACUACCAAUACAGUCCAAAACAUUCACGAUAGCUCCACAAUAAAAGCGUGCAGUGGGAAGAAUAUACUAUUAUACUAAACUAUUACCGCAACACAUACUGGCCACUGUUUUUCUAAAGGUCGCAAUUCAAAUCCAUUCAAUAUGGCCACGGCGAAGCGCUUUCACUGUUAUCAGGCUACUUGUUGUCUGGAAAAGUAAAUACCCUACCAUGAUACAAGUAUUAUAACAUCUGAAUACUGCGAUGUCAGAUAGCAACUGAACUGCAUGUCAGAAUAGAGAAUUAUCUAGGACUAUAAUCAACUAGCUGAAUAAUCUGCGUGCCCACCAAAUGUUCGAGUAUCCAACGUGUUCAAAACAACUGUCAAAAUAUUAUCGGUGAAGCCUUCCGUCAAUCCGGAAGGACAUAAAUGCUUGACAAGUGCUGUCACUCUACUAGUUGGCUGUUUCGUUAUUAACACACGAAAUCGUGUUGGUAGACAGAAAUCUGCUGUGCGGGUUUAUUUAGAGGAGGCACAAAGUUAGGCAAUUUUAACCUGUAGCUUAAACGCCUUCAAGGCUCCAUCAUUACAAGUAUGCGGACUUUACGAAAGCUACUGGCAGCGAUGCGCAUUAAUCGACCUUGCAAGUAACACCGGAGAGAAAAGAGAUGAUGCCUAACGACAACACUGAAGAUCACCGAAGCUCUGCCUAAGGUUGACCUGUCCGUCUCCUGGGUCGUACACAUGCCCGAUGGCCCAGUUUACGCAACAGCCGGCUCCUCCAUAGUUCUCCCAUGUUCCUACGACUUUCCGGAAGAGUCUCCCGCAGGACACCAUUACAAGGUGCUCUCUGAGAUGUGGUGCUUGGACCAGAGUCAUUGCAUCACACCGAGGUACGUGUACCACAGUGCUGGGAUCUUUCCGGAGCCGACGUACCAGGGUCGAGUGGAGUACCUGGGCAGGUUGGGAAGCAGGAACUGUUCCCUGAGGAUCUCUGAGCUCAGGGUGUCUGACAGUGGUGUCUAUGUGUUUUGCUUCAUCACGGACCACCCAGUGGCCAAGCUGCCAGGACAGAGGGGGCUUACACUCCUAGUAACUGUUGAAACAGCCGAGUCAUCAAAGGGGAGCGCUGUGGUAUGGAUACUUGGCUGUCUGUUGGCAGCCAUGGUGGUUGCAGGGGCAGCGUUAUACUGCAGGAGGAGGUCCCUUCAAAGAUCAUAACAGAUAAUGACUAUGACAUAAAAACCCAGAGUAAGAAGAAAUAACAGUGAAGCCUGGUAGAGGUGUUACAUUAAGAUUGGGCAUUUAUCUAAAAGACUAACCAAAAAUGACAAGAUGAGGCGAAUUUGACCCCUAUAAGAUGGAAUCAUUGAAAAUCAGCUCAAUACUUCAAAGAUAUUAAACAUUGUAAAGUGAUAUAAAUGAAGAAUGUAUCAAGAAGGAUUUUUUUGUAUUUCUCUGUUGUCUCACACCUUAUGUUCAACUGUAUUGUAGACAUAUGACUUUGAUAUGUGCACAAAGUACAGUUUUUUAGUUUGAGUUUAUUUUAAUUGUGACCAACAUUAACUUAACAACAUUAACAUCUCAGUACUGAAUAAUGUGUUUGCAUGGUGUAUUUGAUCACUUUUUCACUUCACUAGGGUAGAGUUUUUCAGAGGUCUAGUGUGGUGGAAAAUAUGUGAAUGAAAACUCAACAACCUGUGUGUGUAGACUAUUAACAAUCAGUAUAAUAACCAGUGUGUGUAGAAUGUUAACAAUCAGUAUGGCCUCUGGGAUAUUCAUGAUAGCAAGCUGUUAGAACUGCUAUGCCACUACAUAAUGAUUUAUACCGUUGAUGUGAAUUGCAUUAUGGGUACUCUUUGUUUAAAUAUGUAUCAAGUCUGGACAUACUGAUGUAUGGAGAGUCUUACUGAACUCUCCGCAUGCCAGCUGAGGGCCUUGAGAGCCUUCCCUGUCCUACUGCACACUCAUCUUUAUCUUAAACUUGGCACAUUUUAGGCUCCCCUGUCCCGCUGCACCCGCAUUCUUCUCCUGAAUUGGGCCGUUUCCAACCAUGGGUUGCUUUAGAAUAUGCCGGGUGCGAUUGUUGGGCCUCGGCCAUAAGGGGGAGGCACUGAUGGCUGACCAAAUAUGACAUGAAAACAUUUCCGGGCCCCCAAUACUCCAAUUAAAAAGCAAUAUACGUACUGUAUAUCCUAUGGGGAGGGUCAUAGGUGGUUUAGGGUGACAAAAGGUUCUCUUCAGAUGUAUAAAACAGAAUGCAAAACUCUGUAAACUCAGUAUUGUCUUGCUGACUUGCUCAGGUUUACGCUGUUGGUAUUGCACUGGCAAAAUAAACCUUUUUUGAUCCACACUCUGCCAGACUGCCAAAGAGUUUUAUUCGGAUCAGAAAAGAUGAAUGUUUUUUCCAUCACAAACCUACAGAUCAGACACGACACUAGUGCUUUGACCUAGUGAAUGAUUUAUAGGACAACAGAAGCCAUCGGAAGAAGAUAUGUAGUUCAAGUCCAUUUUGAACUUAUGGUUUAACUCAAGGGCGUAGGUUUGGUCUCAGCAGCUUUUCUGAUAAACCACAUGGCAGAGAUACCUUUUCUGAUAAAUCACGUGGUAGAGAUGUCUUUUCUGAUAAACUACAUGGCAGACAGGCCAUCACCAGGGAUGGAUUACCAAAAGGGCCAACCGGGCCCAGGCCCAGGGGCCCAUGAGCUCAGGGAGCCCCUAAGCCAGAGCGUCUGCGUGAAGUAGUUGUUAUUAACUUUGCAUUUCUUGUUGCAUAAAAAAAUUAAGGUUAGAGCGCACAAGAAUUGUUUGGCGCGCGAAGGGGGGAGGGGGGCCUUUUACACGUCCAGGCCCAGGACAGGGUCACAGGCCAUUAGAUAGGCGCUUCUGAGAGGCCAUGACGAGACCAC
Long non-coding RNA from Clupea harengus (Atlantic herring), 4418 nucleotides. The record is from Ensembl. Lineage: Eukaryota; Metazoa; Chordata; Actinopteri; Clupeiformes; Clupeidae.